This 467-nucleotide ribosomal RNA is filed under the name uncultured bacterium. RNAcentral's name for it is "partial 16S ribosomal RNA". It matches the Rfam family "Bacterial small subunit ribosomal RNA", at positions 28 to 506 of the family's 1533-position model. The record is from RNAcentral.
GACGAACGCUGGCGGCGUGCUUAACACAUGCAAGUCGAACGGAAAGGCCCUGCUUUUGUGGGGUGCUCGAGUGGCGAACGGGUGAGUAACACGUGAGUAACCUGCCCUUGACUUUGGGAUAACUUCAGGAAACUGGGGCUAAUACCGGAUAGGAGCUCCUGCUGCAUGGUGGGGGUUGGAAAGUUUCGGCGGUUGGGGAUGGACUCGCGGCUUAUCAGCUUGUUGGUGGGGUAGUGGCUUACCAAGGCGUUGACGGGUAGCCGGCCUGGGAGGGUGACCGGCCACAUUGGGACUGGGGUGCGGCCCAGGCUGCUACGGGAGGCAGGAGUGGGGAAUAUUGCACAAUGGGCGGAGGCCGGAUGCAGCAACGCCGCGUGCGGGAUGACGGCCUUCGGGUUGUAAACCGCUUUCGCCUGUGACGAAGCGUGAGUGACGGUAAUGGGGAAAGAAGCACCGGCAAACUACGU